GUAGUCAUAUGCUUGUCUCAAAGAUUAAGCCAUGCAUGUCUAUAGUAUAAGCAAUUAUACAGCGAAACUGCGAAUGGCUCAUUAUAUAAGUUAUCGUUUAUUUGAUAGUACCUUACUACUUGGAUAACCGUGGUAAUUCUAGAGCUAAUACAUGCUAAAAAUCCCGACUUACGAAGGGAUGUAUUUAUUAGAUUAAAAACCAAUGCCCUUCGGGGCUCACUGGUGAUUCAUAAUAACUUCUCGAAUCGCAUGGCCUUGCGCCGGCGAUGGUUCAUUCAAAUUUCUUCCCUAUCAACUUUCGAUGCUAGAGUAGUGUUCUAGCAUGGUUACAACGGGUAACGGAGGGUUAGGGCUCGACCCCGGAGAAGGAGCCUGAGAAACGGCUACUACAUCCAAGGAAGGCAGCAGGCGCGCAAAUUACCCAAUCCCGACACGGGGAGGUAGUGACGAUAAAUACUGAUACAGGGCUCUUUUGGGUCUUGUAAUUGGAAUGAGUACAAUUUAAAUCCCUUAACGAGGAACAAUUGGAGGGCAAGUCUGGUGCCAGCAGCCAAAA
Molecule: ribosomal RNA, 556 nt
Filed under: Colletotrichum gloeosporioides
Lineage: Eukaryota; Fungi; Ascomycota; Sordariomycetes; Glomerellales; Glomerellaceae
Description: SSU rRNA
Rfam family: Eukaryotic small subunit ribosomal RNA
Source: RNAcentral